RNAcentral lists this ribosomal RNA (492 nucleotides) under uncultured bacterium. RNAcentral's name for it is "partial 16S ribosomal RNA". It matches the Rfam family "Bacterial small subunit ribosomal RNA", at positions 29 to 507 of the family's 1533-position model. The record is from RNAcentral.
AGUGAGCGCUGGCGGUAGGCCUAACACAUGCAAGUCGAACGGCAGCACAGUAAGAGCUUGCUCUUACGGGUGGCGAGUGGCGGACGGGUGAGGAAUACAUCGGAAUCUACUUUUUCGUGGGGGAUAACGUAGGGAAACUUACGCUACUACCGCAUACGACCUACGGGUGAAAGCAGUGGAUCUUCGGACCUUGCGCGAUUGAAUGAGCCGAUGUCGGAUUAGCUAGUUGGCGGGGUAAAGGCCCACCAAGGCGACGAUCCGUAGCUGGUCUGAGAGGAUGAUCAGCCACACUGGAACUGAGACACGGUCCAGACUCCUACGGGAGGCAGCAGUGGGGAAUAUUGGACAAUGGGCGCAAGCCUGAUCCAGCCAUACCGCGUGGGUGAAGAAGGCCUUCGGGUUGUAAAGCCCUUUUGUUGGGAAAGAAAAGCAGCAGGUUAAUACCCCGCUGUUCUGACGGUACCCAAAGAAUAAGCACCGGCUAACUUCGUG